UACGGGGGGGGCAAGCGUUGUUCGGAAUUACUGGGCGUAAAGGGCUCGUAGGCGGCCAACUAAGUCGGAUGUGAAAUCCCCAAGCUUAACUUGGGAACUGCAUCCGAUACUGGAUGGCUUGAAUCCGGGAGAGGGAUGCAGAAUUCCAGGUGUAGCGGUGAAAUGCGUAGAUAUCUGGAGGAACACCGGUGGCGAAGGCGGCGUUCUGGACUGCAACUGACACUGAGAAACGAAAGCCAGGGUAGCAAACGGG
Molecule: ribosomal RNA, 253 nt
Filed under: uncultured bacterium
Lineage: Bacteria
Description: partial 16S ribosomal RNA
Rfam family: Bacterial small subunit ribosomal RNA
Source: RNAcentral